RNAcentral lists this ribosomal RNA (509 nucleotides) under uncultured bacterium. RNAcentral describes it as "partial 16S ribosomal RNA". It matches the Rfam family "Bacterial small subunit ribosomal RNA", at positions 28 to 523 of the family's 1533-position model. The record is from RNAcentral.
GACGAACGCUGGCGGCGUGCUUAACACAUGCAAGUGGUGCGACGAACCAGGCUUCGGCCUGGGGCAGAGCCGCGAACGGGUGAGUAACACGUGGGCAACCUGCCCUGUUGAUCGGGACAACCCGGGGAAACCCGGGCUAAUACCGAAUGUGGUGCCGGCUCAUGAGAGCCGUCACGAAAGGAAGCGUCGGCCUCCGCCACCGGAUGGGCCCGCGGCCCAUUAGCUUGUUGGUGGGGUAAUGGCCUACCAAGGCAACGAUGGGUAGCUGGUCUGAGAGGACGAUCAGCCACACUGGGACUGAGACACGGCCCAGACUCCUACGGGAGGCUGCAGUGGGGAAUCUUGCGCAAUGAGCGACAGCUUGACGCAGCAACGCCGCGUGGGGGAAGAAGGCUUUCGGGUCGUAAACCCCUUUCAGUUAGGACGAAGCUUUAUUGGUUAAUAACCAAUUGGAGUGACGGUACUUUCAGAAGAAGCCCCGGCUAACUACGUGCCAGCCGCCGCCGUAA